CCUACGGGUGGCUGCAGUGGGGAAUAUUGGGCAAUGGGGGCAACCCUGACCCAGCGACGCCGCGUGAGGGAAGACGGCCUUCGGGUUGUAAACCUCUUUUGUACGGGAAGAAGGACGUGACGGUACCGUGCGAAUAAGUCCCGGCUAACUACGUGCCAGCAGCCGCGGUAAUACGUAGGGGACGAGCGUUGUCCGGAAUUACUGGGCGUAAAGGGCGCGCAGGCUGUAGAUCAAGUCAGCUGUGAAAUGUCUGGGCUUAACCCGGGCAUGCGGUUGAAACUGAUGUACUGGAGUGCUGUAGAGGCAAGUGGAAUUCCCAGUGUAGCGGUGAAAUGCGUAGAUAUUGGGAAGAACACCGGUGGCGAAGGCGACUUGCUGGGCAGCAACUGACGCUGAGGCGCGAAAGCCAGGGGAGCAAACGGGCUUAGAUACCCCUGUAGUC
RNAcentral lists this ribosomal RNA (442 nucleotides) under uncultured Synergistaceae bacterium. Its description in RNAcentral is "bacterial SSU rRNA". It matches the Rfam family "Bacterial small subunit ribosomal RNA", at positions 338 to 795 of the family's 1533-position model. The record is from RNAcentral. Lineage: Bacteria; Thermotogati; Synergistota; Synergistia; Synergistales; Synergistaceae.